This 133-nucleotide ribosomal RNA is filed under the name uncultured bacterium. Its description in RNAcentral is "partial 16S ribosomal RNA". The record is from RNAcentral.
UAGUUGGCCGGUGCUUCUUCUGUACCUACCGUCACUUGCGCUUCGUCGGUACUGAAAGAGGUUACAACCAAGGCCGUCAUCCCUCACGCGGCGUUGCUGGAUCAGGCUUCCGCCCAUUGUCCAGUAUUCCCCA